AUGGAUGAUCGGGAGGAGGCAAGGAGCAGAUGUGGGGGAAGAGGAGCUGUAGGGGGCGCACAACAACAGGACUAAGGGAGACGAUGCUGCUGCUAGCUAUGGUUUGGAUUGGGGAUUGUUUUAGAUCUGAGGCAUGGAUGGAGAAGGAGAGAAGACAACACCUAUUGAGGCAUGAAUUAUUAGGCCACGACUAAGCCUGCCAGUGGAUUGUAAUCCAAUCCAAAUCCAUUUGCACUCAACCAAACACAAUCCAAAUUAAAACCAACCCAUUUAACCUAUUUCCAUCCAACCCAUUAGCAGGUCUAGCCACGGCACAAUUGCCACCUGCGCUCAAUUUUUUUGCAUGGCGCGUCUUCCCUCCCGCCAAGACUAUUUGGGCUGUGCCAUUUUUUUCGGUGUAUAUAGACAUUGGGACACACAAAUUGAUAGGAUCAUUCUUAGUGGAAGAUAAUUUGCCAUCAUUCUUUUGCCGACAGACAAUGUACUGAAAUUUAUUUUUCUACUGGCAGACAGUGUGCCACUACCUAUACCGACAGACCGAGUGAAACCAAAAUGUUUUGUUUUUUUACCGAUACAACACA
RNAcentral lists this long non-coding RNA (581 nucleotides) under Oryza brachyantha (malo sina). Its description in RNAcentral is "long non-coding RNA (OBRA_LNC002985)". The record is from RNAcentral. Lineage: Eukaryota; Viridiplantae; Streptophyta; Magnoliopsida; Poales; Poaceae.